Molecule: ribosomal RNA, 494 nt
Filed under: uncultured bacterium
Lineage: Bacteria
Description: bacterial SSU rRNA
Rfam family: Bacterial small subunit ribosomal RNA
Source: RNAcentral
GAUGAACGCUAGCUACAGGCUUAACACAUGCAAGUCGAGGGGAAACGACAUCGAAAGCUUGCUUUUGGUGGGCGUCGACCGGCGCACGGGUGAGUAACGCGUAUCCAACCUGCCCACCACUUGGGGAUAACCUUGCGAAAGUAAGACUAAUACCCAAUGAUAUCCCACGAAGGCAUCCGAAUGGGAUUAAAGAUUUAUCGGUGAUGGAUGGGGAUGCGUCUGAUUAGCUUGUUGGCGGGGUAACGGCCCACCAAGGCUACGAUCAGUAGGGGUUCUGAGAGGAAGGUCCCCCCACAUUGGAACUGAGACACGGUCCAAACUCCUACGGGAGGCAGCAGUGAGGAAUAUUGGUCAAUGGGGCGAGAGCCUGAACCAGCCAAGUAGCGUGCAGGAUGACGGCCCUAUGGGUUGUAAACUGCUUUUAUAAGGGAAUAAAGUGGGUCUCGUGAGACUUUUUGCAUGUACCUUAUGAAUAAGGACCGGCUAAUUCCGUG